This is an RNA transcript of Portunus trituberculatus (swimming crab), 1730 nucleotides long. RefSeq lists it as uncharacterized. NCBI's taxonomy places the organism in Eukaryota, Metazoa, Arthropoda, Malacostraca, Decapoda, Portunidae. The record is from RefSeq and is a predicted model, not a curated record. The transcript is spliced from 5 exons.
AUAUCAGUUUGAAUAUAAUUAAUACAACAAAUUAACUUCAUUCUAACUUUGCAGCAAAACGAGUGAACCGGAGGAGGAAGAAGAGGAAAAGAAAGGAAGGAAGGAAGGAGUUAAUUCAAUUGUUUCUUUUUAGUGUUGUGUGGUGUGCGGAUGUCAACUUGUAUAUAAUAUUGCUAUCCACUUCAAACAGGUAAUGUGAUGAUUAACAGCCUUGACAUUAACUCUGCAGGAUAACAAGAGAAAAGCAGUUAGAGACUUCAGUGUUUGGAGACAAAAUCAAUUGGCUCAGUGGAAUAUGUGAAUCCAUAUUAACAUUGAAACAUAGAUGACGUGAUAACAAAACUGACUUAACAUUGCACUAUAACAAAUCAGACUUCUACUUUGCAGGAUGAUAAGGCAACAGCAGUUAACGAUAAGGGAGCAGCAGUUAAAGGUUCCAACGCUCUGUGACUCGGAAGAGAAGCAACUAAAGAUUCACAAGUGUUUCGAGACCUGAGUUAAUGCUUUGAAACUCCUGCUCCUCCCCCAUCCCUCUCACUUCCUGCCGAGACUCACCGACGCAUGGCCACACGGACACACGGACCUCCUUCCACUUCUCUGUUGAUGUUACGUCCUUGGUAAGCGUCCUCCUGGGCCGUGUGCAAUCCUUCCAAGCCUUCAGAAGUUCUCCUGGGGGUCUCCUGCAGUCCUCUUGAGCCUUCAGAAGUCCUCCUGGGACCUCUUGCAGUCCUGUCAAGCAUUCAUAAGUCCUCCUGGGGCCUCCUACAGUCCUUCCAACCCUUCAGAAAUCCUCCUGGGCCUUGUGCAGUCCUUACAAGUCUUCACAAGUCCACCUGGGACCUCUUGCAGUCCUUCCAAGCCUUCAGAAAUCCUCUUGGGGCCUCCUGCAGUCCACCUGAGUCUGCUGCUGUUUGUGUUACAAGGCAGCAAGGUGGUGGUGGUGGUGGUGGUUACGAUGUGAUACUGGAUGCAGGAAGGAAGAGAUGAUGAGUUUGAGAACACAAGAUGGCUCGAGGAGAGGAUGAAAUCAACACCAAGGAUUUUUUUUUUUUUUUUUCUUCCUGGUCUUGAACUGUUGUUGAAAGCGCAAAUAUACUGUGCGUCGGUAUUAUAGCAGCUAUUAUCGGCUGCUGGAUGAAUGUCACUGCUACCACCACCACCACCACCACCACGGCUACAACUGGAGUAGUUUGCCUUCAGAGCCAGUGCUUGCACUAAGUGGACCAUCUUCCUGCCUGCCUACCAAGGAUGUCCUCCUGUGUUCCCUGCUGAAUAUUAGGACAACAAGAGUCCACAGUGGCAUCAUAAAUGAAAGCCUAGAAAAUUGUGAAAAGUGGCCUAAAAACUGGCAAAAAGCUAUAUAUAUAUGAUAAAUUGAAGAGUGCAAGUAGGAGAAAAAAUACCUUAAAUUUGUUAAAUUUGUAAAAUGUUGUAAGCUUUAAAAUUUUUAUUGCUUAAUAAUAAUAAUAAUAAUGCCUUUAGUUAGGAACUAUAAAAAUUACUUUUAAGCUAAAAAUGCUUGAAUGGCCCUAAAAAACUGUACUUAGGAACUAUAAAAAUUACUUUUAAGCUAAAAAUGCUUGAAUGGCCCGAAUGGCCCUAAAAAACUGUACUAAGUCGAAAAUACUCAGAAGAGUCUCCGGAGACAAGGCAAAUGAAUAAAUAAUAUUGGAGCUAAAAUUAAAUGAAAGUCUCCCAAAGUCUAAAUAAACUUUUAUAUUCAUCAACAA